Sinocyclocheilus grahami is the source of this 2059-nucleotide long non-coding RNA. The record is from Ensembl. NCBI's taxonomy places the organism in Eukaryota, Metazoa, Chordata, Actinopteri, Cypriniformes, Cyprinidae.
UGUGUGUGUGUGUGAGUGAAUGUGUGUGUGUGUGUGUGAGAGAGAGUGAAUCUGUGUGUGUGUGUGUGUGAGAGUGUGUGUGUGUGUGUGUGUGAGAGUGAAUCUGUGUGUGUGAUGGUCUGACAGUGUAUGUGUGUGUGAUGGUCUGACGGUGUGUGUGUGUGUGUGUUCUGCACAGGCGAGUGUGUGGCAGGAAGAGGAAGGGGACGCCGGUGAAGGUGUGUGAAAGAGCGGCGUAUGUGACGGAGGACGAGGAGGAGAGUCUGUCUGAACACAGUUACAGCCCAGGGGAUGAGCAGUACACAGAGGGAGCUGAAGACCGGAUACCUGCGCCGAGCAGCCCGUUCUUCCUCACCGACCCGGCACAGCUCUGGUACAAGACCUGCUCUCAUUCACUUUUUAUUGGUUGGUGGCAAUGAGCUUCCACAGUGCUCAGCCGUGUUGACUCUGAAUGUGCCGUGUGUUUGUGUGUCCUGCAGUGUGCCAGAGCUGGCUGAAGAGGGCGCUAGCGGCGUCCGCGGCCCUGUGCUGUUCCACCCAGCGCCCAACUGCAGGAUUAGAGAGGUGCAUUGUGGGAGUCAGGUCCGGCUCGUCGUCAUAGCCAUUCGAGACAUUGCCAAAGGAGAGGAGAUCACAGUGGACUACAGCCUGACCGACUGGGGAGAAAAUGCCAUGGUGAAUGACCAGAACCUCACUGAAACACGCUAUACUGUAUUCUCCGCACAUCUGCGUAACCUUUAAUUCAUUCAUGAUCUAUUAAACCGCAGGGCUUUCAUACUUCGGUGUCCCCGCGCGGGUUUGAAUGUGGAUUCAACCCAGAGAGCAACAUCAAGAAGGAGGAGGAGCCGGGUUCACUCCCAAUGUCUCUCAGCGUUUCUGACUACCUCACUCCGUCAUGGUCCCUGUCUCCCUCCUCCUCUCCGCUGUCUCACUCCGAGGCCAGAGACUCUGACCGAGAGGAGGACGAAGAGGAGGAGGACGACGACGACGACGACGAUGAUGAUGACGACGAAGAUGAUCUGGAGGAUCUGCGGGGCCGCAUGAUGAGACGCCGCAAGAAACAGAAAACCUCGGCGACCAUCAAGAAGAAAGCCCAGCCCCGCCCCCUGUCCUUCACAUGCCCCGCCCCUUCCUCACCGACGCCCUUCCAGCAGCCUCUAGCCCCGCCCACCACCAACAUAAACAAUAACAUAAACAUAAACAUCGGCGCGAGCGGCGCGCUCUCCCGCAGACAGCACUGUCCCUACUGCGGCCGUCACUUCCGCUCGCUCGCUAGGCACCUGGAGAAACACCACGAGCAGCAGCCCGAGGUCCGAGCAGCCAUGGAGCUGUCGCACCCCCCCGCCUCCUCGCACCCCGUCACAUCUCCCUCUCAGCCCUCGCCCUCCCUGUUUCCCCGCGAGCGAGACGCUUCGUCUUCAGCGCCGAAGUCCGGAGGCGUCUCCUUCUCGCUCUCGCUGUCUCCGCCUCCUGCCUCCAAUACCGCAAAAAAGAGCUCAGCGACAGCGCCUAAAAACAAGAGCCCGGCCGUCUCGCCCAAGCCUCCCGCCAGGAGAGGACGGCCGCCGAAGAAAGAGAAAGAACAGCAGCAGAAGAAGCAGGAGGAGCCCGGGAAACAGGAGGAGGAGGUGGAGGAGGAGAAGAAUCAAGAAGACGGAGGCGCAGAGGAGAAGAACAGUGACGUGGCGAGGGAAGCGCGGCGUGCUGAAGCGGCCGUGGUCAGAGGCGGAGCGAGUCGCAGUGGAGACGCACCUGAAGAGGAACAUCAUGGAGCUGCGUGUGCCUGCGAAAGCGGACUGUGAGCGAUGCCUGCAGCUCUGCCCUCUGCUGGUCAGUAACCAGCGCGACUGGAGAGCCAUCAAGUUCUACUGCCACAACCGCAUCCAGCUCCUGAAGAAACAGGGACGCAGAGACGGGAACACCGCCGCCGUCUGCUAACCACAGUAACACACACACACACAGAGACACACACACACACACACUCACACACACACACACUCACUCACACUCACACACACACUCACGCACACACACACACACACACACACACACUCUCACA